This 470-nucleotide ribosomal RNA is filed under the name uncultured Acidimicrobiales bacterium. RNAcentral describes it as "bacterial SSU rRNA". It matches the Rfam family "Bacterial small subunit ribosomal RNA", at positions 8 to 487 of the family's 1533-position model. The record is from RNAcentral. Lineage: Bacteria; Bacillati; Actinomycetota; Acidimicrobiia; Acidimicrobiales.
AGAGUUUGAUCAUGGCUCAGGACGAACGCUGGCGGCGUGCUUAACACAUGCAAGUCGAACGAGGUUCAGCCGGUCGCAAGACCGGCGAAGACCGAGUGGCGAACGGGUGCGUAACACGUGAGAAACCUGUCCCGGUCUCUGGAAUAACAGUCGGAAACGACUGCUAAUACCGGAUGCCGUCGGAGCGUCGCAUGGCGCGCUGACGAAAGGGCUACCGGAUCGGGAGGGUCUCGCGGCCUAUCAGCUUGUUGGUGAGGUAACGGCUCACCAAGGCAUCGACGGGUAGCUGGUCUGAGAGGAUGAUCAGCCACACUGGGACUGAGACACGGCCCAGACUCCUACGGGAGGCAGCAGUGGGGAAUCUUGCACAAUGGGCGAAAGCCUGAUGCAGCAACGCCGCGUGCGGGAUGAAGGCCUUAGGGUUGUAAACGCGCUUUCAGCAGGGAAGAAAAUGACGGUACCUUAGAGAG